RNAcentral lists this long non-coding RNA (283 nucleotides) under Elaeis guineensis (African oil palm). RNAcentral's name for it is "long non-coding RNA (EGUI_LNC010503)". The record is from RNAcentral. Lineage: Eukaryota; Viridiplantae; Streptophyta; Magnoliopsida; Arecales; Arecaceae.
GUAGAUUAGGUAGGCAACCGGAAGGUCCAUGCCUCUAUUCUUAAGAAGUGUCUAUGUCGGCAACUGAUCCCAGACAACAUUCCAUAGGAAAAGUCUAACUUUGGGAUGGACGGUCACUCUCUAGAUCAAGCAGCCUCGAUCCUCCUUUCUAACACUGGCCUACUCAUCUCAACGAGAUCCCUAUCAGGGAUCUUAGGACAGCAAGACCAACCCCACACCCUCAAAUCAUGACUCCGAUGGAUAAGAAUCGGUAAAGCAAGAAUCUAUCGGUAAGCUAACCACC